Molecule: long non-coding RNA, 550 nt
Filed under: Helianthus annuus (common sunflower)
Lineage: Eukaryota; Viridiplantae; Streptophyta; Magnoliopsida; Asterales; Asteraceae
Source: RNAcentral
AUCCGCUGCACUACUGUAUUUAUCAAAAAGGAAGGUUAUAUUUAUCAAAAAAAGGUUUUGUUUAUUAAGAACAAGGAAAAAGGAAACUGCCAAAAAUCACGUGUUGACUUAGGGUUGAAUCAGAGGCAAUUUCUCCACCAAAAAGAUGAAGGUAACCGUUACUACGCGGAGCGGCAAAGAGGUAGAACUGAAUCUGAUGAUGAUGUUCUGUUUAUGGUGGCCGGCGGCGGCAGCGUAUUUCCGGCAGAUUUGAGAUUUGAAAAAGAAUGGCUGGAAUAGAUCGAUGGGAACGAUUGUGGUUGAGAUAAUUGUAGAUGAUGAACAGGCUAUCCAAGGAUCAGAAACUCUGCUUUGAUACCAUGUUGUUUGGUAUAGAGAAUAAUCUCUGAAUUGAGUUUGAAUUGUAUUGAUAGUAAUGUGUUGUGUUAAAAAAGAUUACAUAGAGAUGGUGUAUAUAUAGAACACCAUAUUACACUCUAGCCUCUAUACUAUCUUUUUUCUUCUUUUCAACAGCUAUGUGUUGCAUAUCACUAUUACUUGUAAUUUAAAA